GCCCAGACAGUGAGAGCUGCCAGACAGUUCAGGGUUUCCAGUCUAACAAAACUGCCUUCAAAAUACAGGGGGAAGAAAAGCCCCUGGGAGCUCAGGACAUGGAGCAGGAAGCCGGUGAACAUGGCCAAGGCCACCGUCAGCUACCGCCAGGAGAAGACCCACAUGAUGAGCGCCGUGGACCGGAGCUUCACGGACCAGAGCACCCUGCAGGAGGACGAGCGGCUGGGCCUGUCCUUCAUGGACACCCACGGCUACAGCUCCCGGGUGAAAAGUUAAGCAUCUAUUGUGCUCCGGCUGGGUGCACUGGCACAGGGCGUGCAGAGGAGGCGCAGGUGUGUGUUGUGUUGUGCACUGGAGGAGCCUGCAAGGAGUUCUGCUGACACACGAGGGAUGCAAGACGCACCGUGCCGGUUGUCAAGGAGGAGGAGGAGAGUGCUGCUGUGUGAACUGAGGGACCACAGCAGCCUCGCCCUUUAUUGAGCACCUGCUGUGUGAGAGGCGGGGUCCAGUGGCCGAGACUGAGCGAUAUAGGGUCACACAGACCUGGGCUUGCCUGGCAGAUCCCCUUCUUAGCUGUGCGACCCGGGGCAAGUUGCUUGACCUCUCUGGAUGUCUGUUUCCUCAUCUGGAAAAUGGGCGCCUAUCAUACAGCUGCCGUGAAGACUAAAUGGGAUCAUGUGUGUAAUCACUUGGUGCAGUGCCCGACUGCAGAAAGCGUGCAGACAAUCCUAGCGGGCAUGAUUUAUGCACGUUGGGCCCCGUGCUGGGAGCUUUUCGUGUAUUACUUCAUUAAAUCUCUUCUUUUUAUGAGGUCAUAUUUGAUUUUUACAAAAAUCCUAUAUAGCAAAUGUGUAAGCUAUGAAGCAUCAUAAUAAAAUCA
Molecule: non-coding RNA, 880 nt
Organism: Microcebus murinus (gray mouse lemur)
Lineage: Eukaryota; Metazoa; Chordata; Mammalia; Primates; Cheirogaleidae
Source: RefSeq, a predicted model, not a curated record